AUGGACUUUAUCACCGGAUUACCCAGGACUCGUUCAGGCUAUGACUCCAUCUGGGUUGUAGUCGAUCGUUUGACAAAAGUAGCUCAUUUCAUCCCGGUGAAGACAACUUAUACGAGUGCUAAGUUGGCAACGAUAUACAUGACCAGGAUCGUAUGCCUGCAUGGAGUUCCGAGGACCAUUCUAUCAGAUAGAGGAACCCAGUUUACUUCAAAGUUUUGGAAUCAGUUGCAUGAAACUUUGGGUACUAGGCUAGAGUUCAAUACAGCCUUUCAUCCACAGGCAGAUGGACGGACCGAGAGAGUCAAUCAGAUUCUGGAAGACAUGCUGAGAGCGUGUGCGCUAGAUUAUGGAUCUAAUUGGGAUGACAAUUUUCCAUAUGCAGAGUUCUCUUAUAACAACAGUUAUCAAGCUAGUUUGAAGAUGGCCCCUUUCAAAGCCUUGUACGGAAGGAGGUGCAGGACACCGUUAUCGUGA
Molecule: ribosomal RNA, 474 nt
Filed under: Triticum aestivum (bread wheat)
Lineage: Eukaryota; Viridiplantae; Streptophyta; Magnoliopsida; Poales; Poaceae
Description: partial small subunit ribosomal RNA
Source: RNAcentral